This 481-nucleotide ribosomal RNA is filed under the name uncultured bacterium. RNAcentral describes it as "partial 16S ribosomal RNA". It matches the Rfam family "Bacterial small subunit ribosomal RNA", at positions 28 to 507 of the family's 1533-position model. The record is from RNAcentral.
GAUGAACGCUGGCGGCGUGCUUAACACAUGCAAGUCGAACGAAGCACUUUAUUUGAUUUCCUUCGGGACUGAUUAUUUUGUGACUGAGUGGCGGACGGGUGCGUAACGCGUGGGUAACCUGCCUUGUACAGGGGGAUAACAGUUGGAAACGGCUGCUAAUACCGCAUAAGCGCACGGCAUCGCAUGAUGCAGUGUGAAAAACUCCGGUGGUAUAAGAUGGACCCGCGUUGGAUUAGCUAGUUGGUGAGGUAACGGCCCACCAAGGCGACGAUCCAUAGCCGACAUGAGAGGGUGACCGGCCACAUUGGGACUGAGACACGGCCCAAACUCCUACGGGAGGCAGCAGUGGGGAAUAUUGCACAAUGGGCGAAAGCCUGAUGCAGCGACGCCGCGUGAGCGAAGAAGUAUUUCGGUAUGUAAAGCUCUAUCAGCAGGGAAGAUAAUGACGGUACCUGACGAAGAAGCACCGGCUAAAUACGUG